RNAcentral lists this ribosomal RNA (242 nucleotides) under uncultured bacterium. RNAcentral describes it as "partial 16S ribosomal RNA". It matches the Rfam family "Bacterial small subunit ribosomal RNA", at positions 535 to 776 of the family's 1533-position model. The record is from RNAcentral.
CUAGCGUUGUUCGGAAUUACUGGGCGUAAAGCGUAUGCAGGCGGAUCAUUAAGUCGGGGGUGAAAUCCCGAGGCUCAACCUCGGAACUGCCUUCGAUACUGAUGAUCUUGAGUCCGGGAGAGGUGAGUGGAACUGCGAGUGUAGAGGUGAAAUUCGUAGAUAUUCGCAAGAACACCAGUGGCGAAGGCGGCUCACUGGCCCGGUACUGACGCUGAGGCACGAAAGCGUGGGGAGCAAACAGG